Molecule: ribosomal RNA, 497 nt
Filed under: uncultured bacterium
Lineage: Bacteria
Description: partial 16S ribosomal RNA
Rfam family: Bacterial small subunit ribosomal RNA
Source: RNAcentral
GAUGAACGCUGGCGGCGUGCCUAAUACAUGCAAGUCGAGCGAACAGACGAGGAGCUUGCUCCUCUGACGUUAGCGGCGGACGGGUGAGUAACACGUGGAUAACCUACCUAUAAGACUGGGAUAACUUCGGGAAACCGGAGCUAAUACCGGAUAAUAUAUUUAACCGCAUGGUUCAAUAGUGAAAGACGGUUUUGCUGUCACUUAUAGAUGGAUCCGCGCCGCAUUAGCUAGUUGGUAAGGUAACGGCUUACUAAGGCAACGAUGCGUAGCCGACCUGAGAGGGUGAUCGGACACACUGGAACUGAGACACGGUCCAGACUCCUACGGGAGGCAGCAGUAGGGAAUCUUCCGCAAUGGGCGAAAGCCUGACGGAGCAACGCCGCGUGAGUGAUGAAGGUCUUCGGAUCGUAAAACUCUGUUAUUAGGGAAGAACAAAUGUGUAAGUAACUAUGCACGUCUUGACGGUACCUAAUCAGAAAGCCACGGCUAACUACGUG